AACGGAAGGGGCCAAUCUGCGCGCCCUGCGCGUGUUGAUGAAGGCCUUCGGGUUGUAAAGUACUUUCGUCGGGGAGGAAGGUGUUGUGGUUAAUAACCCUGGCACUUGACGUUACCCUCAGAAGAAGCCCCGGCUAACUCCGUGCCAGCAGCCGCGGUAAUAAGGGAGCCAGCAGCCGC
RNAcentral lists this ribosomal RNA (179 nucleotides) under uncultured Enterobacter sp. Its description in RNAcentral is "partial 16S ribosomal RNA". It matches the Rfam family "Bacterial small subunit ribosomal RNA", at positions 359 to 539 of the family's 1533-position model. Lineage: Bacteria; Pseudomonadati; Pseudomonadota; Gammaproteobacteria; Enterobacterales; Enterobacteriaceae. The record is from RNAcentral.